GAUGAACGCUGGCGGCGUGCCUAAUACAUGCAAGUCGAGCGAACGGGCGAGAAGCUUGCUUCUCUGAUGUUAGCGGCGGACGGGUGAGUAACACGUGGAUAACCUACCUAUAAGACUGGGAUAACUUCGGGAAACCGCAGCUAAUACCGGAUAAUAUUUUGAACCGCAUGGUUCAAAAGUGAAAGACGGUCUUGCUGUCACUUAUAGAUGGAUCCGCGCUGCAUUAGCUAGUUGGUAAGGUAACGGCUUACCAAGGCAACGAUGCAUAGCCGACCUGAGAGGGUGAUCGGCCACACUGGAACUGAGACACGGUCCAGACUCCUACGGGAGGCAGCAGUAGGGAAUCUUCCGCAAUGGGCGAAAGCCUGACGGAGCAACGCCGCGUGAGUGAUGAAGGUCUUCGGAUCGUAAAACUCUGUUAUUAGGGAAGAACAUAUGUGUAAGUAACUGUGCACAUCUUGACGGUACCUAAUCAGAAAGCCACGGCUAACUACGUG
Molecule: ribosomal RNA, 497 nt
Filed under: uncultured bacterium
Lineage: Bacteria
Description: partial 16S ribosomal RNA
Rfam family: Bacterial small subunit ribosomal RNA
Source: RNAcentral